RNAcentral lists this long non-coding RNA (738 nucleotides) under Equus asinus (donkey). RNAcentral describes it as "lncRNA (ENSEASG00005023763.1)". The record is from RNAcentral. Lineage: Eukaryota; Metazoa; Chordata; Mammalia; Perissodactyla; Equidae.
GAAUUAAUGAAAUGGGAAUUACAAGAAUCAAAGCUUAUUUCUGGUAAUAAAUGUGCACAGUAUGUUUGGAUAGUUAGAUCUGUCCAUUUCAUUAUAAUAUCAAAUAUUCAUUGCAUCUUAGAAAUAUCUGGGGUUUUGGGUAAUUCUUUUAAAAGCAUUUUUAAAUUUAAAAUACAUUACGUAGACAAGAGCAUAAAAUAUAUGUGUAGGGUUGAACAAAUGCUUGUAAAAUGAAAACCCAUGCAAUCACUCCCUGGGCCAAGACACAGCCCAUCAACAGCAUCCCAGAAGUCCCCACUACGUUCGUCACCAGUACCACAGCCUCCCUGCUCUGCAGACCAACCACUUUUCUGAGCUUCACGCUCUUGCAGGCUUCGUCACCCCUCACUUCGCGCAAGUCUCCUCACUGGGAUCCUACUAGCCUGGCUACCUCCCCCAUCCCCAACUGCCGUGAGAGCUCAUACUAACGUGCUCAUCUGUCCCCUGCUGAAACCUCCCAAAUACCACCCUCUGUUGGCCGAAUGACAAACUCCUGAACAUGCCAGGGAAGGCCACGCAUGCUCUGGCCCCUUUCCACCCCUGGGGUCCUCUCAUCCCGGGACUUCCCUCACAGAGCACCCUUCACCCUGAAGUCUCCUUGAACCACUGACAGUUCCCCAAAUGUCCCUGUUGACUUUUAUUUUUUAUAAAAUAGGCAUAUUUAUAGGGCUGCCAGGAGAAGUCAAUAAAAUAAGAUGU